This is an RNA transcript of Anopheles aquasalis, 1242 nucleotides long. It is a transcript of the gene named troponin C, isoallergen Bla g 6.0101, with no coding region annotated. Lineage: Eukaryota; Metazoa; Arthropoda; Insecta; Diptera; Culicidae. The record is from RefSeq and is a predicted model, not a curated record.
GAUGUUUACAAAAAGGACUCAUCAGGCCACCGGCGGCGAUUAGUUGUCAUCAACCACCAGCAAGCGAGUGACUUACUGCUUUGAGUUUAUUUUCUCGUGCAAGCUUUAUCACACUUUCUAUCACAAUGCAGAAGGCAGAGCUGAGCAAGGAUCAAGUGAGGGUCCUGAAGGAAGCUUUCAUUGCCUUUGAUAUCGAAAAGAAGGGCAGCAUCUCGUUGGAGGUCGUCGGUGAGAUCCUCGAGCUUCUUGGCUACGCCCUCUCCGAAGAAGAGCUUCAGGAGGUCAUCGAAGAAUACGAUGUCGAUGAAUCUGGAUUGAUAGAGUUUGAGGAGUUCAUCGAGCUGGCUUCGAAUUAUGUUGAGCCGGAGGAAGAUUACGACGUGCUGCGUGCCGAACUACGUGAAGUGUUCAUGUUGUACGACAAAGACGGCAAAGGCUUCAUUCCUGUGGAUGCGUUCAAAGGAAUUUUGCGCGAACUGGACGGUGCGGUCCCGGAAACUGAGCUAGACGACAUCGUAGAUGAGAUUGAUGCCGAUGGAUCGGGAACGGUUGACUUCGAGGAGUUUAUGGAGGUUAUGACAGGUGAAUAGGACCGCUAACAUACUGCUUCGCACCUCAUGUAGGAUCGCUUGCAUCCGUGGACGGAUACGGAAAAGUGGCGCUUCUACAAACCUUGGAACGAUUGCUGGCGAAUCCCUUCUCCUUCGCAGAAAGACAAUCACAGAGUAUACAAAGCAUCGGUUGGCAAAUGGCACGGCAAUGAUACGGUGUAGCUUUGUCAUUUGAGCAUAAUCAUCCAUCAUGAUGAGGUGGUCCGCCUCAUGCCAGGACUCAUACACGCAUGGCCAAGGCCAAGAAUCACUAUAAUUUCCACCCCCCGGACUAAUGAACUGUUUCCGCAGGACCCCGUGACGAAUGAUGUGGAUGUCGAAGCGCUCCCAAAUCAUACCAACACACAUACACGCCACACAAACCACAAGAAGACAUCACCAGACACACAUACGCACACACAAACAUGUACAAUCUGCACACAUACAAACACACAAACACAAACAAGGCGCGUGCUUCGUCCUUUGUUAGAGCUCUCAUAGCCCAUAACAGAAGCAACAUAUUGUUUAAUGCGCAUCACCAUUCCGAAAUGUAAGGAGUACUUCAGCGAUUGAUAAGAUUGAGAAUAAAUGAAGAACGAAUGAGCUGGAAAUAAGAAUAAACAACAACACCAGGUCCUUUUUGGCUUCCGAA